CAAUAAGUUAAAAAGUGUUUGGCUUAAAAAGUGCUUUUUGAAGAUAUUUUGGCUGAAAAGCCAUAAGCAGUUUCAAAAAGCCACGUUUUUCAUGCUUAUUAAAAAGUGCUUAUUGAAGCUUAUGGAAAAGCCAUUCUGAAAAGUGCUUUUGAGUUUGCCAAACACUUUUUUUAGCUUAUUAGCUUUUCAAAAAGCCAAUAAGCAAAUAAGCAUUUUUCAAACGCAAUCCCAAACACCCCCUAAGUGUUUGAAAUGGCAGAGUCAUCUGGUUGGCAAUUGAGCUCUGCGCGGGUGUAGAAGACAUCUGGUUUGUUUGACUAUUUCAACAUGUUGUUUGACUAUCUCAAUUUUGUUUUUGUCUACAGUUGUGUUUAUUUGAUUAUUUAACUAGGUUAAAACCCGUGGAACCCAUGGAUGUUGAUUUUGAAUUGAAUUUAAAAAUUAAUUAUUUAAUAAAAUAAUAUUUCAUUAAUUUUGAUAACUUAUGAAUUAUAACUUUUUUUAUAAUAUAAUUUGUAUAUUUGUUUAUAUUGUGUACCAGUGAAUUUAAUUAAAGAUAUUAAAGUUAAAAUGAGUCGGGUCAGAUCCAAAGCUAUAAAUGGGUCGGAGUCGGAUCCAUAAGAGUAGAUAACCAUACGAACUGUAACUCGUAACGUGUGUUGUAUAUGCAGAAAGAAAUCGGGUGAAGAAAGCAAUACUAUCCCAACAACUCUCUUUCUCCUUCUUCCACUGCAACCCUAAAGUCAUUACCUGAUGUGAAUCACGUGUCAUCAUCCUCAUUUCCAACUUAGGGCUUAUUCCAUUUCCAUUUGUUCUGUCCCCAAUUUGAACGAAUUUUGAGUACGCCUUGCACGUGCUCCUGUAGUCGAGAAGAAGAAGAGAGAAGGUAGGCCCAAUAAGCAAUCGGAGCAUUUGGUGGGUAAUCACAUUAAAACUCGAGCAACUGCAGCUAGGGAAGCGGCGACGGUUAGUGUUAAGCCGAAGCAACAAAAGAAGUCGAGGUUGCCGACUAAGAAGAAGAAAGAGGGUUUAGCAAAAUAGUCGGUGGUUGUCAUUUCUGAAGCAGAGGAGGAUAAAAAGCGAACAGAGGAAACCGGAGAAGAGACAUUCAAAGUAGCAAUGGCAGAUGUAAGCGGUGGCUAAAGCGCUAACAGGGUUACAGGCCAGGAAGAAGAAGGGAAUACCGCCCCAUUUCAUGAAAGGGUUCAAGUAGGUGGAUCACCUCAAUAUAAGGUCGAAAGAAAAUUAGGGAAAGGUGGAUUUGGUCAGGUAUUUGUUUGUCGUCGUGUAUCUGGUGGAACUGAUCGCAUAUCAGGUCUUGGUGCUACAGAGGUAGCUUUUAAGUUUGAGCAUAGAAACAGCAAAGGCUGCAGUUAUGGUCCUCCAUACGACUGGCAAGUUUAAAAGUAUGUGCACAUUAUGUUUUUGUGAUCAGUACACAGAUUAAAAUUGUUCUUUUUUGAAUUUAAAGAAGUGGAUUUGUUUUUUCUUGGUGGAACAGUACUAUGGGUGGGAGUCAUGGAGUGCCUAAAGUUCAUUAUAAAGGAAAACAAAUAGAUUACUAUGUUAUAGUAUAUGUUAAUACUUGAUGAGUUUUUAGUUUAUUUAAAUGAAUAACUAUAUAACAUUUCUUUUUCUUUGUUUACAUUAUAGGUCAUGGACACGUUAGGGCCUAGUUUGUGGGAUGUUUGGAAUUCUUAUGGACAAACGUGAGCUCUCCAUAAACCU
This is a non-coding RNA of Lactuca sativa (garden lettuce), 1728 nucleotides long. The record is from RefSeq and is a predicted model, not a curated record. NCBI's taxonomy places the organism in Eukaryota, Viridiplantae, Streptophyta, Magnoliopsida, Asterales, Asteraceae.